RNAcentral lists this unclassified non-coding RNA (247 nucleotides) under uncultured fungus. RNAcentral's name for it is "partial contains 5.8S ribosomal RNA, internal transcribed spacer 2, and large subunit ribosomal RNA". The record is from RNAcentral. Lineage: Eukaryota; Fungi.
AACGCACAUUGCGCCCCUUGGUAUUCCAUGGGGCAUGCCUGUUCGAGCGUCAUUUGAACCCUCAAGCUUUGCUUGGUGUUGGGUGUUUGUCCCGCUAUUGCGCGUGGACUCGCCUUAAAGUAAUUGGCAGCCAUGUAAUUCGGCUUUGAGCGCAGCACAUUGCGUACUCUAUGCUGGUACAUUGGCAUCCAGAAGCCCUUUUUUUACUCUUGACCUCGGAUCAGGUAGGGAUACCCGCUGAACUUAA